GUCUUUAUUGAUUAUAAUAUAAGGUCUGGCCUGCCCACUGAAUAUUAAAUGGCCGUGGUAUUUUGACCGUGCUAAGGUAGCAUAAUCAUUAGUUUUUUAAUUAAAAACUGGAAUGAAAGGUUUGAUAAGAAAAUAACUGUCUCUAUUUAAUUUUAUUAGAAUUUUAUUUUUAAGUUAAAAAGCUUAAUUGUUUUUAAAAGACGAGAAGACCCUAUAGAGUUUUACUAAAUAUUGAAUUUUAUAUUUUAGAAUUAAGUUAUAAAAUUUUGUAUUUAGUUUAAUUGGGGUGAUUGAAAAAUUAAAUUAACUUUUUUUGAAUAUUUACAUAAAUUUAUGAAUGAUUGAUCCAAUAUUUUUGAUUAUAAGAUAUAAUUACCUUAGGGAUAACAGCGUAAUUUUUUUUUAGAGUUCUAAUUGAAAAAAAAGAUUGCGACCUCGAUGUUGGAUUAAAAUUAAUAUUUGGUGAAGAGGCUAAAAUAUUAGGUCUGUUCGACCUUUAAAAUUUUACA
This 509-nucleotide ribosomal RNA is filed under the name Lamprolina sp. BMNH#704380. Its description in RNAcentral is "partial 16S ribosomal RNA". It matches the Rfam family "Bacterial large subunit ribosomal RNA", at positions 1819 to 2600 of the family's 2925-position model. The record is from RNAcentral. Lineage: Eukaryota; Metazoa; Arthropoda; Insecta; Coleoptera; Chrysomelidae.